This 156-nucleotide non-coding RNA is filed under the name Schistosoma haematobium. RNAcentral describes it as "Eukaryotic small subunit ribosomal RNA". It matches the Rfam family "Eukaryotic small subunit ribosomal RNA", at positions 1669 to 1823 of the family's 1831-position model. Lineage: Eukaryota; Metazoa; Platyhelminthes; Trematoda; Strigeidida; Schistosomatidae. The record is from Rfam by way of RNAcentral.
CUGCCGUCGCUACUACUGAUUGAAUGGUUUAGCGAGGUUGUUGAAUUGGUGUGGUUGUAGUGACUUCGCCGCUCGACUGAUACCGAGAUGACCUGAUUUGACCAUUUAGAAGAAGGAAAAAUCACAACAAGGUUUACGUAAGUGAACCUGAGGAGG